ACGCUCGACACCUACGGAGGCAGCAGUGGGGAAUAUUGCACAAUGGGGGAAACCCUGAUGCAGCGACGCCGCGUGGAGGAAGAAGGUCUUCGGAUUGUAAACUCCUGUUGUUGGGGAAAAAGNGGAUGGUACCCAACAAGGAAGUGACGGCUAACUACGUGCCAACAGCCGCGGUAAUCUGAGCGGGCUGGCAAGGC
Molecule: ribosomal RNA, 197 nt
Filed under: uncultured bacterium
Lineage: Bacteria
Description: partial 16S ribosomal RNA
Rfam family: Bacterial small subunit ribosomal RNA
Source: RNAcentral